RNAcentral lists this ribosomal RNA (238 nucleotides) under uncultured bacterium. RNAcentral describes it as "partial 16S ribosomal RNA". It matches the Rfam family "Bacterial small subunit ribosomal RNA", at positions 92 to 334 of the family's 1533-position model. The record is from RNAcentral.
AAAGUGGCGCACGGGUGAGUAACACGUGGGUAAUCUAUCCUUUGGUGGGGGACAACAUCCCGAAAGGGGUGCUAAUACCGCAUAAGUCCACUUCGGUGGGGAAAGGUGGCUUUGGCUAUCGCCAGAGGCUGAGCCCGCGUCCCAUCAGCUUGUUGGUAGGGUAAUGGCCUACCAAGGCUUCGACGGGUAGCUGGUCUGAGAGGAUGAUCAGUCACACUGGAACUGAGACACGGUCCAG